UGAAUACGAGACGCUAAGGCGUCGAAGUAGUGUAUGUCAUACUUCCAAGAAAAGCUUGCACUGUCAUAGAUAAAAAACGCCUGUACCAUAACCGACACAGGUGGGUAGGUAGAGUAUACUAAGGGGCGCGAGAUAACUCUCUCUAAGGAACUCGGCAAAAUAACUCCGUAACUUCGGGAGAAGGAGUGCCUUAUUCGUAAGGUUGCAAUAACAAGAUCCAAGCAACUGUUUAUCAAAAACACAGGUCUCCGCAAAGUCGUAAGACGAUGUAUGGGGGCUGACGCCUGCCCAGUGCCAGAAGGUUAAAGAAGUUGGUUAGCAAUUGCGAAGCUGAUAACUGAAGCCCUGGUGAACGGCGGCCGUAACGAUAACGGUCCUAAGGUAGCGAAAUUCCUUGUCGGGUAAGUUCCGACCCGCACGAAAGGCGUAAUGAUUUGGAUACUGUCUCGGAGAGGGGCUCGGUGAAAUAGACUUGUCUGUGAAGAUGCGGACUACCUGCACCAGGACAGAAAGACCCUAUGAAGCUUUACUGUAACUUGAAAUUGAAAUUGGACUUUAUUCGCGCAGCAUAGGUGGGAGGCGUUGAUUAUAAUCUUGCGGGAUUAUUGGAGCCAUCAGUGAGAUACCACUCUUGUAAUGUUAGAUUUCUAACUUUGAAUCAUUAUCUGGUCAAAGAACAGUUUCAGGCGGGCAGUUUGACUGGGGCGGUCGCCUCCUAAACGGUAACGGAGGCGUACAAAGGUUUCCUCUGAACGGUUAGAAAUCGUAUCUAGAGUGUAAAGGCAUAAGGAAGCUUGACUGUGAGACCUACAAGUCGAGCAGGGACGAAAGUCGGUCUUAGUGAUCUACGGUACUGAGUGGAAAGGCCGUCACUCAACGGAUAAAAGUUACUCUAGGAUAACAGGCUGAUCUCCCCCAAGAGUUCACAUCGACGGGGAGGUUUGGCACCUCGAUGUCGGCUCAUCGCAUCCUGGGGCGGUAGUACGUCCCAAGGGUUGGGCUGUUCGCCCAUGAAAGCGGUACGCGAGCUGGGUUCAGAACGUCGUGAGACAGUUCGGUCCAUAUCCGGUGUAGGCGUUAGAAUAUUGAGAGGAGCCUUCUUUAGUACGAGAGGACCGAGAAGGACAUACCUCUGGUGUACCAGUUAUCGUGCCAACGGUAAACGCUGGGUAGCUAUGUAUGGAGUGGAUAACCGCUGAAAGCAUCUAAGUGGGAAGCCCACCUCAAGAUAAGUAUUCUCAC
RNAcentral lists this ribosomal RNA (1242 nucleotides) under metagenome. Its description in RNAcentral is "bacterial LSU rRNA". It matches the Rfam family "Bacterial large subunit ribosomal RNA", at positions 1564 to 2817 of the family's 2925-position model. The record is from RNAcentral.